RNAcentral lists this ribosomal RNA (432 nucleotides) under Pycnococcus provasolii. Its description in RNAcentral is "partial Bacterial large subunit ribosomal RNA". It matches the Rfam family "Bacterial large subunit ribosomal RNA", at positions 1245 to 1572 of the family's 2925-position model. The record is from RNAcentral. Lineage: Eukaryota; Viridiplantae; Chlorophyta; Pseudoscourfieldiophyceae; Pseudoscourfieldiales; Pycnococcaceae.
UAGCUGUGAAGCGGAUCCGUAAGGACCGUUGGAGCAAUCAGAAAAGACUUUGUCGGCAUUAGUAGCGAUAACGUAUGUGAGAACCAUACGCACCGAAAACCUAAGGUUUCCUGCGUCAAGUUAAUCUGCGCAGGGUUAGUCUGUACCUAAGGCGAGGCCGAGAGGCGUAGUCGAUGGAUAACGGGUUGAUAUUCCCGUACCCGUGUGUGAGCGUCCCUGAUGAAUCACCGGUACUAACCGCCCAAAACCAGCGUCACCAAUCACCUUCGGGUGUGCGGGUUGCUGGGGCUGCGCGGGACCUUCGGUGGUAGUAGUCAAGCGACGGGGUGACACAGGAAGGUAGCCGUACCAGUCAGUGGUAAUACUGGGGCAAGCCGGUAGGGAGACAUCUAGGUAAAUCCGGGUGUCACAUAUCCUGAGAGGUGAUGCAUA